GGAGAGAUCGUCUAAACAAGAUACUCUGAUGUAACCAGAGAAAUAAAAAUAAAAUUUUUCUAUCCA
Molecule: transfer RNA, 66 nt
Filed under: Aphrocallistes vastus (cloud sponge)
Lineage: Eukaryota; Metazoa; Porifera; Hexactinellida; Sceptrulophora; Aphrocallistidae
Description: tRNA-Tyr
Source: RNAcentral